UACGGGGGGGGCAAGCGUUGUUCGGAAUUACUGGGCGUAAAGGGCUCGUAGGUGGCCAACUAAGUCGGACGUGAAAUCCCUCGGCUUAACCGGGGAACUGCGUCCGAUACUGGUUGGCUUGAGUUUGGGAGAGGGACGCGGAAUUCCAGGUGUAGCGGUGAAAUGCGUAGAUAUCAGGAGGAACACCGAUAGCGAAGGCAGCUCGCUGGGACGGUACUGACGCUGAGGUGCGAAAGCGUGGGGAGCGAACAGG
RNAcentral lists this ribosomal RNA (253 nucleotides) under uncultured bacterium. RNAcentral's name for it is "partial 16S ribosomal RNA". It matches the Rfam family "Bacterial small subunit ribosomal RNA", at positions 524 to 776 of the family's 1533-position model. The record is from RNAcentral.